Molecule: long non-coding RNA, 1173 nt
Filed under: Vulpes vulpes (red fox)
Lineage: Eukaryota; Metazoa; Chordata; Mammalia; Carnivora; Canidae
Description: lncRNA (ENSVVUG00000017095.1)
Source: RNAcentral
CCGCGCGCCGCGGGGCCCGCUCCCCUCGCCUCGGCCUCGGCGCGGACCUCCCCGGGCGCCCCCGGCCCCGAGGUUGGGUUUUCCUGCAAAUGGCGCCCGGAGCUCCCACCUGCGCCUCCGCCAGCUGGGCCGCGGUCACAAAGCCCGUUUGCGGGGUGGGGACGCGAGCUCUCCACGGGCAGGGAUCGUGCCGUCCCCGUGUUCCAUCAAAACAGGAAAGGGAAGGUGAAUCAUCACCCGAAGAUCAGUCUACCUGCGGCGUCCCAGGCGGGCGCGUGGAGCGGCCACCAAUCGCUUUAUUGGAAAAAAAGUGUUAAUCACGUCUGGAAAAGCAGAACACAGUUGCAAGGGGGGAGCCUGGAAGUGAUUCCUGAAAAUCUAUGCUCAAGUCUUUUAAACCGUGACACUACGGCCUGUUGCGAGCAGACACUGUUGGUCCUCGGGUUGAGAAGGAGCUUCAGCCCUCAUCUGGAUAUGAGUUGACAACCUAGAAGGAGAGUUUUGGGUAUCCAAACGCAAGAGAGCUGGAGAGAGGAUCUGCAUCCAAGAGUGAGAGAAAGGAAAGUGAUAGAGAAGUGGUUGAAAGACACCAGGGAAAGAUAAGAAAGACAAGAAAAUGAGAAUAUGAAUGACAAGAUCAGGAGGCAGGAAUAUCUGAAACAAGUUGGAAAUGCUUGGCAUGGAGCAAUCAGGGCAGGACUAGAGCUGGGUCAUCCCAGGGUGUUGGAGGCUCUCCUGACGCUCUUUGAUGCUGCAGUCUCACUGGGGGGAAAUGCAGCUUUUGCCUUUUCUGAUGAAAAGAUAGCUUUGAAAUGGAGGGGCUGCUUUUUGUUUUUAUUCAUGUUAUUUUAUUUUUUACUGUAGGCAUUCUUAGGGGGAAGAAUCCUAUUCAUUACUUGAGUAGAGUAACAUGCUUUACUAAAAUAAGUUUCUAUUCUAAAUGAUUGUUCUUAAAAUAGGAGAUAACCAGAAAUAUCCCUUUUGAAGGACUCUUUAUUCAGUUUAUUUUAGGCAUAUGAAGCUACUUCAUAAUCACAAAGGGGGUAAUUUAACAAGAGAUGUAAAACUGAUAGUCUUGUGUUGUACAUGUUUAUGGUUAUUUAUACGAUGUAUAUUUAUACACAUAUAGUUAUUUAUACACACGUGAAUAAAAUGCUCAAAGUUCUUUAAUCA